AACAGGAUUAGAUACCCUGGUAGUCCACCCCGUAAACGUUGGGAACUAGUUGUGGGGUCCAUUCCACGGAUUCCGUGACGCAGCUAACGCAUUAAGUUCCCCGCCUGGGGAGUACGGCCGCAAGGCUAAAACUCAAAGGAAUUGACGGGGACCCGCACAAGCGGCGGAGCAUGCGGAUUAAUUCGAUGCAACGCGAAGAACCUUACCAAGGCUUGACAUAUACGAGAACACUCUGGAAACAGAGGACUCUUUGGACACUCGUAUACAGGUGGUGCAUGGUUGUCGUCAGCUCGUGUCGUGAGAUGUUGGGUUAAGUCCCGCAACGAGCGCAACCCUCGUUCUAUGUUGCCAGCACGUUAUGGUGGGAACUCAUGGGAUACCGCCGGGGUCAACUCGGAGGAAGGUGGGGAUGACGUCAAAUCAUCAUGCCCCUUAUGUCUUGGGCUUCACGCAUGCUACAAUGGCCGGUACAAAGGGCUGCAAUACCGUGAGGUGGAGCGAAUCCCAAAAAGCCGGUCCCAGUUCGGAUUGAGGUCUGCAACUCGACCUCAUGAAGUCGGAGUCGCUAGUAAUCGCAGAUCAGCAACGCUGCGGUGAAUACGUUCCCGGGUCUUGUACACACCGCCCGUCAAGUCAUGAAAGUCGGUAACACCUGAAGCCGGUGGCCUAACCCUUGUGGAGGGAGCCGUCGAAGGUGGGAUCGGUAAUUAGGACUAAGUCGUAACAAGGUAACCGUA
RNAcentral lists this ribosomal RNA (737 nucleotides) under uncultured Actinomycetes bacterium. RNAcentral's name for it is "bacterial SSU rRNA". It matches the Rfam family "Bacterial small subunit ribosomal RNA", at positions 771 to 1504 of the family's 1533-position model. The record is from RNAcentral. Lineage: Bacteria; Bacillati; Actinomycetota; Actinomycetes.